Molecule: ribosomal RNA, 888 nt
Filed under: uncultured Prevotella sp.
Lineage: Bacteria; Pseudomonadati; Bacteroidota; Bacteroidia; Bacteroidales; Prevotellaceae
Description: partial 16S ribosomal RNA
Rfam family: Bacterial small subunit ribosomal RNA (bases 1-548)
Source: RNAcentral
GACGAACGCUGGCGGCGUGCUUAACACAUGCAAGUCGAACGAAAAUACCAAGCUUGCUUGGUUGAUUAGUGGCGAACGGGUGAGUAACACGUGAGUAACCUGCCCCCUUACUUUCCUGGAUAACUGCUCGAAAGGGUAGCUAAUACGGGAUAUUCUGACCAGUCUGCAUGGGUUGGUUUGGAAAGGUUGUUUUUCUGGUAAGGGAUGGGCUCGCGGCCUAUCAGCUUGUUGGUGGGGUGAUGGCCUACCCAAGGCUUUUGACGGGUAGCCGGGCCUGGAGAGGGUGGGACGGUCACACUGGGACUGAGAUACGGCCCCAGACUCCUACGGGAGGCAGCAGUGGGGAAUAUUGCACAAUGGGCGCAAGCUUGAUGCAGCGACGCCGCGUGAGGGAUGAAGGCCCUUCGGGUUGAAAACCUCUUUUCGUCAGGGGAACAAGGGCACUGCUUUUUUGGGGGGGGUUGGGGGGUACCUGGGAUAAGGAAGGGCCGGCUAACCUACCGGGCCCAGCAGGCGCGGGAAAUUUCGUAGGGGCCCCAGCCCUUGUCCGGAAAUUAUUGGGGCGGAAAGAGCUCCUAGGCGCUGGUCGCUUCCUGUCUAAAAACCUUCCGGGUAAACCGGGGCUUGCUUUGUUUCGGGCCGCGUAGAAAGCAGAAGGGGUGCUGGAAUUUUUGGUUUUUUUUGCAUUCCAAAAAAAAAAAAAAAAAAUGCUUGUGGUUUUUUUUUUUUUUUGGGAAUAUCCGUCGCUCCCCUGCACUCUAAAUAUCAGAGAAAGUAGAAAAGGGGCGGGGGGGGGUGAAUUUUUUUUUUGUCGGGGCUCGCCCCCCCCCCCCCCCCUAGUGUGGUGCUAUCUCCUUGUAAACAAAUAUAAUAAAUAAAAAGGGGGGG